RNAcentral lists this ribosomal RNA (254 nucleotides) under uncultured bacterium. RNAcentral's name for it is "partial 16S ribosomal RNA". It matches the Rfam family "Bacterial small subunit ribosomal RNA", at positions 524 to 777 of the family's 1533-position model. RNAcentral also lists the same sequence under 1 other name. The record is from RNAcentral.
UACAGAGGGUGCAAGCGUUAAUCGGAUUUACUGGGCGUAAAGCGCGCGUAGGCGGCUAAUUAAGUCAAAUGUGAAAUCCCCGAGCUUAACUUGGGAAUUGCAUUCGAUACUGGUUAGCUAGAGUGUGGGAGAGGAUGGUAGAAUUCCAGGUGUAGCGGUGAAAUGCGUAGAGAUCUGGAGGAAUACCGAUGGCGAAGGCAGCCAUCUGGCCUAACACUGACGCUGAGGUGCGAAAGCAUGGGGAGCAAACAGGA